Molecule: long non-coding RNA, 6470 nt
Filed under: Sus scrofa (pig)
Lineage: Eukaryota; Metazoa; Chordata; Mammalia; Artiodactyla; Suidae
Description: lncRNA (ENSSSCG00015007859.1)
Source: RNAcentral
GCAUACACGGGUGAACUCCUGGUGGGGCUUUGAGAGAUGAGUAUAUUGAUGGGCAGGUAGCAGCAGAGGAAGAGGGAAGAAAGAGCUCAGAUCAGGGUUUGUUGGUGUCAGCGAUAUCGACCUUUUAAGCUGGCUCACUACUUGUUCUGGGGUCUGUCCUACGCACUGUAGAAUAUUUAGCAAAUUUCUUGUCUCCACCCACUAGCCACCAGUAGCACACCCCCCCUCCCAGUUGUGAUCAUCAAAAACGCCAUCACACAAAUGAACUUAUCUACAAAACAGAAACAGAGACAUAGAGGAGGCUCUGCUCAUUUUUAACUCUCCCCACAGUGUUCCUGAACCCUCAGGAAACGGCAAUUGGAGAUAUUCACUUGCCACUCGCCCCCUCUGGAAGGGGGUGCAUCUCCCACCUACUGCUCCUAGAGGGUCUUCCAAGGCCUCUGUCUCCUAAUUGUGCUAAGACUUACUUGGGGAGCUGUUAGGACGCAGCUGUUGAGCCACCAUUCUUGCUUCAGCUUUCCAUGAAUGCUUUAAAGCAGAAACCAAAAACAAAUGUUUGAGACCUCCUCAAGUCUCUGACUUUGUCACCUAGCUCCACGUGGUUGCCAAAAGCUGUGCUGCUUUCUCUGUCCCCUGGAGCAGCUGCAGCCUCUGGGCUGCUGCACACGGAGUCAGCCAAUGCCCCCCCNCGGUUCUCCUUCUAGUCUUGACUGUCCAUUCUCCAGAUCCUUCAAGUAGAAGAGUUACUGGUUCCUAGCGGGUGGGAGCACUGGUCUGCUCUGGACACUCUGAAUACGAGUGAAUACAAGUCCAGGUCAGGGUCCUUAACUGGAGUAGACUGAAUGGAUUUCUGAGGAGAAAUUUUUAUGCAUAGAAGACAACUUUGCUGGGUAGAUGCUCAGACCUCUUUCUUGUUAUUAUUAAUACUGACAGAGAUUACUCGCAGAACUUAGAAAAAAAUCAAUACAAACUUUCAUACAGCUUACAACCAACUCGAGGACUCAUAAUUUAAGAAUAAGAAACCCUGCACGACUAUAUACAAAAUAACCAAUAAGGAUCUACUAUAAGCAGAGGGAACUAUCUAUGUUCAAUAUUCUGUGAUAACCUAGAAGGAAAAAGAAUCUGAAAAAGAAUACAUAUGUAUUCUGAAAAAUAAGUAUAUCUUCUGAAAAAGAAUACAUAAAGUAUAUAAAUACAUAUAUACAACUGAACCAUUUUGCUCUACACCUGAAACCAACACAAUAUUGUAAGUCACCUAUACUUCCAUUAAAAAAAAGGAAUAAGAAACCUCUGAAGGGAAGCUAAUUCUUGUGGAGGAGAACAGUGUGUCUGUGUCACAUAGUGUGAUUUAGGGAGGAAGAGCUUUUUUAACUUGGACAUGUAGCUGCGAAGGAAAUGACAGUGUGCAGGGAAAACAACUGAAGAAGGAGUGAGUUGAGAGGGAAAAGGUUUGGUUAAUUCCUUUUUAUCAGUAUGUUGGGUAAGAGAGAUAAAUGCUCUGGCUACCCAUUGUUCAGGUCCAAUUUCCUUUCCGAGCGUCCUGGAAACGCUCUGUGAAACACUUACAAUUGAUGGAAGUUAAGAAAGCAAGCAACUUCAUUUUUUGAUUUAGAAACAAAAAUCUCCUACCGUUUGAACAAUAUUAUUCACUGGAUUUCCUCUCUGCAUCCUUAGGUCACAUCCUGCAUGCCCUUACCAGCCAGUGCCGGAGCUGUGUCAUAGUUUGUUUUUUUAAAUAGUCACUUUCAUUGUUUUUAUUUUUAAAAAUUUUUAUUGACAUAUAGCUGGUUUACACUGCUGCAUCGAUUUGUUGUACAGCAAAGUGACAGUUAUCAAUAGAUACUCUUUUGCAUACUCUUUGCCAUUAUGGUUUAUCACAGAAUGUUGACUAUAGUUCCCUGUGUCAUGGUUUUGUUGGCUCCUACUUGUUCAGUCGGAGAUCCCAUCUGUGCAACCAAUCCCUUGCUUGGACAACAUCAGUCUGAAUCUGGGGGGAGGGGGCACUAAAUAACCAUACUAUACGUUUAAAGUCCAUCAUAUUUUUCACAAAGGAACCAAAAAUCAAUUUCACCCAUGAGACAGUAGCCAAUGGAAUUUUUAAAGGUUCAGAAUAUCUAAAAGAAAUGUACCACUACAUCUUUAAUGGUUUAAAGGUCAUCCUGAGAGGAAGACAAGUGGGAUAGCACUAAGGCAUGUGGUUUACUUUAUUUUAUUUUUUUUUAUUUUUGCUUUUUAGGGCUGCACCCAUGGCAUAUGGAAGUUCCCAGGCUAGGGGUCAAGUUGGAGCUGCAGCUGCUGGCCUACACCACAGCCACAGCAGCUCUGGAUCUGAGAGUAAAAGAUGGUAAUAAAUAGAAGCCAAAACAUAAAGGUUUAUGUCUAAUUAUCAACUUUUUAGAAAUUUGUGCACAAAAGAUGACAGAGACUACCUGCAAUAUCCCCAAACCGGAGGGGAAAAAAAAAGUGUCCAUGAACAAGUGGAUCAUGUGUCUGCAAUGGGAUAAAUAAGUCAGACAGAGAGAAACAAAUAUUGUAUGUUUUCAUUGAUCUAUGGAAUCUAAAAAAUAAAGUGAAUGAAUAUAACAAAACAAAAAGAGACACACAGACAGAGAACAAACUAGCAGUUACCAGAGCAGAGGCGCCAAACAGGCCAAGGGGAUUAAGCAGCACAAAGUGCUAGGUAUAAAACAAAUAAGUUACAAGGAUGUUACGUUCAGCACAAGGAAUACAGUCAAUAGUUUAUAGUAACUUUCCGUGGAGUAUAAUCUAUAAAAAUAUUGAAUCACUAUCUUCUACACAUGAAAAUAAGAUAUUUUAAGUCAAAUAUACUAAAAAAAUAAAUUUUAUAAAAUUUUUUUCCUUAUGAACAUAGAUGCAUUAAAAAUUAUAAUUUUAAAUUCGAUUUUUCCCAUUGGAUUGGAACUAAUUUUUAACUUUUUCUUUCUGAUUUUCUAUUUGCUUACCCUCAAGAGUAUGUAGGGCACUUUCACUCCUUUAAAUUGGGGGGGAACCUGCUUCCACAGCAGCUAUGGGCAUCCCAGGCUGCAGCUUCCCUGCUUCCCACAGGCCCUGUGGCUGCCUGCAGAAAAGCUCCCAUUCAAAGCCUGCUCUCCUAUUUACAAUAGCCAAGAUAUGGAAGCAAUGUAAAUGUCCAUCAAAAGAUGAAUGGAUAAAGAAGGUGGUAUUUUUAAAAGUACUCAGCCAUGAAAAGAAUGAAAUAGAAAAUUACUCAGCCAUGAAAAGAAUGAAAUAAUGCCAUCUGCAGCAACAUGGAUCGACCUAGAGAUUAUCCUACUAAGUGAACUAAAUCAGAAAGAGAAAGACAAAUAUCAGAUGAUGUCACUUCUACGUGGAAUCUAAAAUAUGACAGAGGAGUUCCCACUAUGGUGCAAUGGGUUAAGAAUCUGACUGCAGAGGUUUGGGUCACUGCAGAGGUGCAGGUUCAAUCCCUGGCCCUCUGCAGUGCGUUAAAAGAUCUGGCAUUGCCACAGCUAUGGUGUAGUUUGCAGCUGAUGCUCAGAUUCAGUUCCUGGCCCAGGAACUUCCAUAUGCUGUGAGUGUAGUCAUUAAAAAAUAAAAUAUGACACAAAUUAACAUAUCUAUGAAACUGAAACAGACUCAUAGACAGAGAACAGACUUGUGGUUGCCAAGGGAGAUGGGGGAGGGAGAGGGAAAGAUUGGGAGUUUGGGAUUAGCAGAGGCAAACUACUAUAUAUAGGAUGGAUAAAUGAUAAGGUCCAACUGUACAGCACAGAGAAUAUAGUCAAUAUUCUGUGAUAAACCAUAAUGGAGAAGGACAUGAAAAAGAAUAUAUGUGUAUACAGAAUCACUUUGCUAUAUAGCAGAAAUUAACACAACAUUCUAAGUCAAAUACUCUUCAAUACAUUUUUUUUAAAGCCCUCUCUCUCUCUCUCUCUCUCUCUCUUUUCAUUAUAGCAGAAAUAGCUAUAUAGUAAAAUUCUCCAGGAUGUUUUUUUCUGGAGAUGGAGAACACAAUAUACUCUUAGCAUGCCAACUGUGGAAAACACUGCUCCAGAUGACAAAAAAUUUUCAAUUGUAUGCAAGGAACCCCCAGAUUAACAAGGGGAGGUUACACAUCACUUGAAAUGUCAUGGGUAUGGUGGAAACAUAUGUGAUUGUCUUCUUUCCAAUUGCCUCAUCGGAUUCUUAUUUUACUAUUAUUAAUUAAUACUUCAUAAGGCUCAUAACUUCCUCCUCCUCCCCCUGCCCCCUUCUCUUCUCCUUCUUCUCCUACUCCUCUUCCUCCUCCUUUUCAUCAUUAUUAUUGUCAGUUAGCUUUAAGAUAGGAUGCAAUGUUUGGUCACUCUUAUAGGAAGCUUUCAGUCUCAAGGUUCUGGCUGACAUUACACACACAACUUGUCUGGUAUGGUAUUUUAUGUCCAAAAUGAUUAUUGUUGUUGUGUCAAUUGGAGGUAGACAUAUCGAACUCAGUUCUCCAUAAUAUGAAUUUGAAAGUGUAUUCUUGGGGAAUUCAAUUCAAUGCUUUACCCUCUGCUUCUCCUAAUUUUUGCUCAGACCAGAGAGGUAUAGGAAAAUCUGACAAAUGAAUAAUGCAUUUUGGGAGGAACCAUUUCCACAUUUCAUUUGGCCUACACAGUAAGCAGAUGAAAGCACAAGGACAGUGGUGAUGUCCUUAUUUCCAGGGCCUUCAAUGAGGCCCAAGCAUGCUGAAUUACUUCACCAAAGUCACCAAUUAACCUAGAGAAGACCCAAGGAUUCCAGUUCAGAUUUUUCUAACACUUAGUACUUUGCAUCUUUUUCAACUAGAUAUCUGAGUGGGCCAAAAAAAGGUUAUCUCCAUGUAAGUAAAUUAUUUGUAGCAUUUUAUCCUGAGUACAGAAAGCUUCAACGGAGCUGAUAUUUCUUAACCUUGUAAAUGCCAGUGGUUAUUUUAUGGAAUUCUUGCCACGGCAUGUGAGAUAAUUAUCAUGAUGUCCAUUUUACAGAUGAGAAACCAUGAUAUAAAGUGACUUGUCUGAGAUUGUGCAGUGUUUGGACAGUAAGGAUGGAACCAGACCCACACCACGUCCUGGGUCAUUUACCCCACAACACUUGGAGGCAAUGCCAGCGAUUUUAUUGAGGAUCAUCAGAGUUAGGAAGGAUGAGACUGUGUUACUCGCCACUCCCUGCUAUAAAUCUUCAAGUCUCAAGUGCUACAAACACAGGUGUGCAUGAUCUAAUAGAAGCAUUAGUGGAACUCAAGAACCUCACAGAAAAAACUGCUAAAAGAUAUUCCUGCCAACAUCCAUUCACAGUCUUUCCCAAAUUUGAAAUUCCAAAGUUUCCCUCAAAAUGCCUGAAUAUUAACAUCUUAGGAUGUACUCUCUUUCUAGAAUGUAUGUCCCGGCUUGUUGGGUCUGUACUACUGCUCAAUAACUGUUGGUUGCUUACACGAAUGAGCUAUUUUUCUGAAAACAGAAAACAUAAAAACUAACACAGUACAAAGAGUAUGUCAAACCUAGUUGCUGAAGUCAAGAACCUUACCUACAAUUAUACAAAAAGCCAUUGUCAGAUCGGAGUAUGAACUUCAGAUUUUUAAUUCCCUGGCUAUUAGCACUAACAUAGAGAGUACUUCCACUUCUGCUAUUUCACAGAAUGGUUUAUAUGUGAUAAAUGGUCAAUAUGCACAUAAACAUGAAUUAAGUAAAAUGUCAGUCACAAGCCUCAUAUGGUUUUCUUUAGAAAAAGAGAGAUUCAUAUGCAAGAUCAUUCUGGGUCAGAUCUCACUAACACUCUGGCCAUUCAUGCCUGUGUCAUUUGCCCCACAACCUGUACAUUUUCAUUGCUGCAUUCAGGACAUAAUGAACAGACUUCUGUUUCACAGAUAAGUUCCCAAGAGAAAACUGCACAUUGUUCAUAAUGCAAUGUUUGUUCCAGUCAAUUUUUAAAAUCUUUCUCUUUCUUCCCUUUCAUAGCUUUCUUAAGUAGCUCUGUGAAUAGAGUCAGAAUGUUCUAUAUAUAAGGUCAUCAUGUAAUUCCUGCAAGCACUUUCUGGAUAAGAACCAAGAUUUAAGUGCUAUGAAAACAGAGUAUUUCAGUUUAUGUAUGGAUUAUGUAAUAUAAUCUUUAAUAGGAUACAACUAAAGGCCAAACUUGUAUUUUAGUCCAUGGCUAAAGAUACACAAAAUAAGUUGUAAUAGCUACAGUUCAAUAUUUUUUUUCUGGUUUUAAAAAAUUAUCUUUCAGGAAUUCCUGUCGUGGCGCAGUGGUUAACAAAUCCGCCUAGGACCCAUGAGGUUGCGGGUUCGGUCCCUGCCCUUGCUCAGUGGGUUAAUGAUCUGGCGUUGCCGUGAGCUGUGGUGUAGGUUGCAGACGCGGCUUGGCUCCCGCGUUGCUGUGGCUCUGGCGUAGGCCGGUAGCUACAGCUCCGAUUCGACACCUAGCCUGGGAACCUCCAUAUGCCGUGGGAGCGGCCCAAGAAAUAGCAAAAAGACCAAAAAAAAAAAAAA